GAACAUACAGAUUCCUGGAAGGUGGUGACCACUGACAGGAAAGGAGUGGGAAUUUGGAAGAACAGACAGCUACAAGAGGCAUGGAAAACAUUGGUGUCUGGGAUGUGUGGACUGAGAAUUCCUGAGUAUUCCGGAAAGGCUUCUGCUUCACAGAUGGCGUUCAAAACAGCUCUCUUCAUAACUCUGUUACUUCUGGUCUUUCACUCAUUACUUAGAAUGAGAGCCAGAACACCAGAAGGACUUCUGGCUAGUUUCUUCACUGGCUCCGUAUAACAGUCAGUUUAUUUUGUAGACUAGUUUGAAGUACUUUUUGCAUUACUCAUCCUUCUCUUGGGAUUUUUAGUGCCUCCAGCCCUGGACCACAUUUAUCUGGACUUUGUCCUCUACCUCACUUCCUUCUCCUCUUCCCAGGCUGGGCUCUUCAGCUAGUCCCCAAUUUCCCCCUGGUUUCCUAGGGUUCCUCUGCAGAUGGACAGUCACAGCCAGCCUAAUGGGAGUGUCACCAAUGCUGCUGGCUUUGGUCAAAUCACACAAACCUAGUCAGGGCUUGAGAGGAGACUCUAUGGUAAGAGUGAGCUUCUUGCUACUAUAAAACACCAAGUUCAGUUCCCAGGAACCAUGUCAAACUAUUCACAACCAUUUACAACCCUGGAGAUCAGAAGGCUUCUCUGGCCUUACAUAGACAAAGCAUGCCCAUAGGCACACAUAUCCACACACAUAUGUGCACACACAUGCACGCUUGUGCACACACACACACACACACACACACACACACACUGAAAAGUUCCUUUAAAAUGUUGAAGUCUCCUUUUAUAUUUGACUAUGACCAGGUCUCCAAGAGGGACCCUUAGCCUAUGGAUCCUUCCACAGCAAACCCACAAGUGAGAGGUACCAAGACCACCUGGAAGGGUAGCAAACACACCUGAAUUCAGCUCCUUCACCAGAGAGGACAUGGUAUUGGUGAUGGAGUCUGCAGCCACCAGCAAGUCAUUCCUUAGAUUCCUUCUUGAACCUUCAAUGAAGAAGUGAUAAUUUAAUGUCACAGCUUUUCUUUUACACCUGGCUUUUAUGUUGUUUGUCUACCAACUCCUUUGAUAACCUACAGCAAGAAUAGGAGCUUUGGUUCAUCCCCUGAGUGGAAAAAGAAAGUACACUGGCCCUGAUGUAAAAAGACCCAGCAGUUCAUGUCUUUCGUUAUUCCAAUUGGGUACUUGGGAAAAAUGAAAGGAGUCAGCUUUUCUAAGGCAUGGUGACCUGGCACAAGCUUUGGCACUCCCAGUGAAUCAGAAGGUGUGGACAUCUCACUGAGGACAUCUCACAACACAGAAGCAAGGCCUGGCUUGUCAGAAUAGUUGUACCUUCUAAGUAGCUGUUAUGACCCCGGACAUUACCAUGUGGCUGGGCACACUGGAGCCUGUCCUCUGACAGCACAGGCUCUGUCUCCUAACAGGGCUUCCAGAGAUCUCCGUUCCAGGACAGAUGCCUUUGACAUUGGGACACCAGGUACUGACUGCUCCCAGAGAGGGGAAAGAGGGUGAGGCGUUUUGCAUCUGCUCUUAAGAUAUCAAGCAUAUGCAUGCCUUGUACCUUAACAUGAACUUAGACUGCUGAAGGUAGUCCAUGGUACAAAAAGGUUAUUUCUACAUAUCAGGCACACUAAGGGUUACAGGGAUAGUUGUAGGAUUCUGUGGGAGUAGGUAAGGUGGAGAUGGAAUACAACAUUCAUUACCAUAAUAUCUUAGAAAGAAAGGGCUCAAAAUUCCAAAGAUGCCACUUACAAAAAAGUUACAUAGCAUGAGUGUUCCAAGCGCUACGGGCUUCCCAUGACAUUGCCAUUUUGCACAAAGUAGCCUUAAAUGAAUGAAACAAUAAAUCUAUUUAAAUC
Molecule: long non-coding RNA, 1885 nt
Organism: Mus pahari (shrew mouse)
Lineage: Eukaryota; Metazoa; Chordata; Mammalia; Rodentia; Muridae
Exons: 4
Source: RefSeq, a predicted model, not a curated record